GAGGGGCAUUAUUCCUUAACAGGAGCUGUCAGGCCAGAGCCAUGUCCCCUUGGCAGCUUCCAGCCUGUAAGUACGUUAGAAUUCACUGUAAGAUGCUUGUGGGGUCAUCACAGCCAUUGGCAACUGUACGAGUGUGUAAAUAGUCAUUUGUGGAGCGUCUGUAAGUAGACAGCUUAAAAAAAGAGGAACUUGGGUUUUCUAGUAAGCAGAGUAAUCACCGGCACUGUCUUUGCUUCUGCCCUGCAGGGGAAGAACUCUUGGCAGAACUAGAAAGGUUUGGGACAGGAUACCAGAUCUAUCAGUCUCGCACUCCACUGUUGCUAAUCUGGCAGUUUUCCCUAAAUUUUGCAUAGUGCACAUUUAUUAGUGGCCUGAGGAGGCUUUAGCCUAGCACAGGUGAAUUAACUGUGCAGCAACACUGCACAUCUACCAAGUUCUUUGUUAUGUCCCUUUUUUAGGGCCAUGGUCAGGCUGUUUGCAGGGACUGGCCAGAGGGUACAUUCUGCAAUGAGACCGGCCUGGCUGAAGCACAGCCUUGUCCCAAAGACAAUCUGUCUGGCCAAGAUGCUCCUGGAGGACCUUGUGCACAAGGCUAUUACUGCAUGGGAAGGACAAAGACUGCAAAGCCAGAGGAUGGUGUCACUGGAGAUAUCUGUCCUUGAGGACAUUUCUGCCCUGCAGGCUCAGCAGCACCUUCUCCCUGCCCCAGUGGAGAAUACAGUAAUGCAACAGGUCAGGAACUGGAUCUCUGCAGCUUCAGUGUGACUUGGGAAAGCUAGAUGUGGAUUGUAUCUCCUAUCUAUGUCCAAUAAUGUCUCAAUAGCUGCUGACUGCUAUGAGUUGCUCAGGACUUUGCUUGGGACAGAGAAAGGGUUUUUUUUUUUGUUUUCUUUAGAUUUUUUUUGUUUGUUCAUUUGUUUGGUUUUGUUUUCAUGCUUUUUUGUUUGUUUGUUUGUUUUUGUUUGUUUUUUUCCUGGUGUCACAUGGUGGGGGGAAAGGGAUUCUUACACCCCUGCAGCAGGUCAAAUAGUAGGAUUGCAGCAGUGACAGUGCACAGAAAGCUAGUAAGCAGUUAACCUCAUUUCCUUACAGUUCUUCCUGCCACCUACCGGUGAGAUGCGGAGGUUACUGUGACUCUGAGGUUGGAGCGGGUUUCAGAAGCUACUCUGAUCGUCCAUGUGGAGCAGUGUCUGAGAGUGAUCUCCCUGCAUAUCUCUUCUCCCAAUCUACUGAUGCAUUCCACCUCUAGGAAAUGCAAGCAUAAUACACAACCAAAGGAGAUCCCUUGUCCCACUGAUAGUAUCCCCCAGUGAGCCACAGUUGUUUUUUUUUUGUUUGUUUGUUUGUUUUUGUCCUCUGUAGGUAGGAUAAAAGUUUGGUUUUAAACUCGGGGUUUCCCAGAGGAGCACAAUUUGAAUUGGAAUGCUGAUGUUGAGGAAUCAGCUCAUCCAGAGUCUGCCUCUUUGCCUUCCAAUCAGUGGAUGCAGCACAGCAGCUCUACAGUUUUUACUGACACUCUUUUCCCUCUG
Molecule: long non-coding RNA, 1529 nt
Filed under: Anas platyrhynchos platyrhynchos (common mallard)
Lineage: Eukaryota; Metazoa; Chordata; Aves; Anseriformes; Anatidae
Description: lncRNA (ENSAPLG00000028360.1)
Source: RNAcentral